UAUCCUACGGGAGGCAGCAGUGGGGAAUAUUGCACAAUGGGCGAAAGCCUGAUGCAGUAACGUCGCGUGAAGGAAGACGGUUUUCGGAUUGUAAACUUCUGUUCUUAGUGAAGAAUAAUGCCGGUAACUAAGGAGCAAGCCACGGCUAACUACGUGCCAGCAGCCGCGGUAAUACGUAGGUGGCAAGCGUUGUCCGGAAUUACUGGGUGUAAAGGGAGCGUAGGCGGGAAGACAAGUCAGCUGUGAAA
Molecule: ribosomal RNA, 248 nt
Filed under: uncultured bacterium
Lineage: Bacteria
Description: partial 16S ribosomal RNA
Rfam family: Bacterial small subunit ribosomal RNA
Source: RNAcentral